CCUACGGGCGGCAGCAGUGGGGGAUAUUGCACAAUGGGGGGAACCCUGAUGCAGCGACGCCGCGUGGGUGAAGGAGUGCUUCGGCACGUAAAGCCCUAUCGGCAGGGAAGAAGCAAGACGGUACCUAACUAACACGCCCCGGCGAACUACGUCCCAGCAGCCGCGGUAAUACGUAGGGGGCGAGCGUUAUUCGGAUUCACUGGGUGUAAAGGGAGCGUAGACGGCCAUGCAAGCCAGCGGUGAAAGCCCGGGGCCCAACCACGGGAGUGCCCUUGAAACUGCAUGGCUGGAGUGCGGGAGGGGCAGGCGGAAUUCCAGGUGUAGCGGUGAAAUGCGUAGAUAUCAGGAGGAACACCGGCGGCGAAGGCGGCCUGCUGGACUGCGACUGACGUUGAGGCUCGAAAGCGUGGGGAGCGAACAGGAUUAGAUACCCUGGUAGUC
RNAcentral lists this ribosomal RNA (441 nucleotides) under uncultured bacterium. Its description in RNAcentral is "partial 16S ribosomal RNA". It matches the Rfam family "Bacterial small subunit ribosomal RNA", at positions 338 to 795 of the family's 1533-position model. The record is from RNAcentral.